RNAcentral lists this long non-coding RNA (943 nucleotides) under Hordeum vulgare. RNAcentral describes it as "long non-coding RNA (HVUL_LNC013002)". Lineage: Eukaryota; Viridiplantae; Streptophyta; Magnoliopsida; Poales; Poaceae. The record is from RNAcentral.
AUAUGUACGAAAGAGAGAAAUCAUAUAUUGGAUAGACUUUUGGAUUACAAUAGGGGAUAUUACAGGAGGAACAUCAUCCAAAUGUGAUGCAUAAUGUAAAUAUUCUCUUGACAACAAAACUUAAAUUGAAACUAUCCAUCAACAUCCCUACAACUUAACAAAAACUUAAUCGAGCAACAUGAUUCAAGAGGAACAACAUCCCUGCUAACUUAACUAAAACUAAAAGCAUCUGUCAUCGUCAUCAUGAACCAGAACACCAUCACCAUCAUUGAAGUAUAAUUGCCUCAUCCAUAUAUCUUCUGAAUCUACAAAGUAAAUAAGAAAAUGAAUUGUUAAUACACAAUGCAUUGAGAUUACACAAGUAGUGAUAGAGGCAUGAUGUUUCACAUACAAAUGUUAAACAGAAUGCAAUCUUUGUUUUUUCUGAAUUACCAAGAAUAUUAUAGGUUUUGCGACUACGUACCAAAUCUUCAUUUUUCACAAGUGUCAUAUGAACAUGAAGUGCCCCGAAUUCAUUCGCAGUUUCAGCACCAUCAAGGUUAAAUUUAGGAUCAGAUCUUACAACUAGAGAAAGAGCUACGUACUUGUUAAAUGUAAGUGGAGACAUGAUACAAUGAAAAAUAAGGAUAAAUCCACGUAAUUGCAAUGUUUAAAUAAUCAAACCUUUUUAUUAAUGAAACGAAGUUAUAAAGAUGUAAAUGAAACUUCAUUCUAUUUUAGGAAUACAAAUAGAAACAUGGCCACUCUACAAUAAUGAUUGCACGUUGUCAUCUUUCAAGAAGUCCGGUGCAAAUAAAAGAACUACAAUAGGGGAAAGAAGUAGACGUACAGUUACCGAGCUAAAUAACAAACAUGGUGAAAACCUUUGUUUGGUCUUUCGCUUCAUAGCCUUGAAGCUGGCCUGCAUAUAUGAGUAGCAACUAAGAAUUUAUUAAAAAACCUC